This 465-nucleotide ribosomal RNA is filed under the name uncultured Klebsiella sp. RNAcentral describes it as "bacterial SSU rRNA". It matches the Rfam family "Bacterial small subunit ribosomal RNA", at positions 338 to 795 of the family's 1533-position model. Lineage: Bacteria; Pseudomonadati; Pseudomonadota; Gammaproteobacteria; Enterobacterales; Enterobacteriaceae. The record is from RNAcentral.
CCUACGGGAGGCAGCAGUGGGGAAUAUUGCACAAUGGGCGCAAGCCUGAUGCAGCCAUGCCGCGUGUGUGAAGAAGGCCUUCGGGUUGUAAAGCACUUUCAGCGGGGAGGAAGGCGGUGAGGUUAAUAACCUCAUCGAUUGACGUUACCCGCAGAAGAAGCACCGGCUAACUCCGUGCCAGCAGCCGCGGUAAUACGGAGGGUGCAAGCGUUAAUCAGAAUUACUGGGCGUAAAGCGCACGCAGGCGGUCUGUCAAGUCGGAUGUGAAAUCCCCGGGCUCAACCUGGGAACUGCAUUCGAAACUGGCAGGCUAGAGUCUUGUAGAGGGGGGUAGAAUUCCAGGUGUAGCGGUGAAAUGCGUAGAGAUUUGGAGGAAUACCGGUGGCGAAGGCGGCCCCCUGGACAAAGACUGACGCUCAGGUGCGAAAGCGUGGGGAGCAAACAGGAUUAGAUACCCCUGUAGUC